RNAcentral lists this ribosomal RNA (401 nucleotides) under uncultured soil bacterium. RNAcentral's name for it is "bacterial SSU rRNA". It matches the Rfam family "Bacterial small subunit ribosomal RNA", at positions 975 to 1375 of the family's 1533-position model. The record is from RNAcentral.
CAGGUCUUGACAUCCCGAUGCAAACUCUAGAGAUAGANUCCUUCUUCNNAACAUUGGAGACAGGUGGUGCAUGGUUGUCGUCAGCUCCUGUCGUGAGAUGUUGGGUUAAGUCCCGCAACGAGCGCAACCCUUGAUCUUAGUUGCCAGCAAUUCGGUUGGGCACUCUAAGGUGACUGCCGGUGACAAACCGGAGGAAGGUGGGGAUGACGUCAAAUCAUCAUGCCCCUUAUGACCUGGGCUACACACGUACUACAAUGGGCUGGUACAACGGGAAGCGAAACCGCGAGGUGGAGCNAAUCCUAAAAANCCNGUCUCAGUUCGGAUUGUAGGCUGCAACUCGCCUACAUGAAGUCGGAAUUGCUAGUAAUCGCGGAUCAGCAUGCCGCGGUGAAUACGUUCCC